CCCUUAGAUGUUCUGGGCCGCACGCGCGCUACACUGACGGAGGCAGCGAGCGUGUCCUUCGCCGGCAGGUGCGGGCAAUCCUGCGAGUCUCCGUCGUGCUGGGGAUAGAUGGUUGCAAUUGUCGAUCUUGAACGAGGAAUUCCUAGUAAGCGCGAGUCAUCAGCUCGCGCUGAUUACGUCCCUGCCCUUUGUACACACCGCCCGUCGCUACUACAGAGUGCCCGUGUCCAAGAAACGGUCGGACCUGUGCGGCCUCUCCGGGCGACCGGAGGGCCGUUACGGGGAAGACCCUUUAUUUGACGCGGGUCGAUGAAGUAAAAGUCGUAACA
RNAcentral lists this ribosomal RNA (329 nucleotides) under uncultured eukaryote. RNAcentral describes it as "partial 18S ribosomal RNA". It matches the Rfam family "Eukaryotic small subunit ribosomal RNA", at positions 1470 to 1796 of the family's 1831-position model. The record is from RNAcentral.